GGCCGGCUGGCCCAAUGGUAAGGCGCUUGACUACGAAUCAAGAGAUUGCAGGUUCGAGCCCUGCGUCGGUCA
Molecule: transfer RNA, 72 nt
Organism: Aspergillus clavatus NRRL 1
Lineage: Eukaryota; Fungi; Ascomycota; Eurotiomycetes; Eurotiales; Aspergillaceae
Rfam family: tRNA
About the family: Transfer RNA (tRNA) molecules are approximately 80 nucleotides in length. Their secondary structure includes four short double-helical elements and three loops (D, anti-codon, and T loops). Further hydrogen bonds mediate the characteristic L-shaped molecular structure. tRNAs have two regions of fundamental functional importance: the anti-codon, which is responsible for specific mRNA codon recognition, and the 3' end, to which the tRNAs corresponding amino acid is attached (by aminoacyl-tRNA synthetases). tRNAs cope with the degeneracy of the genetic code in two manners: having more than one tRNA (with a specific anti-codon) for a particular amino acid; and 'wobble' base-pairing, i.e. permitting non-standard base-pairing at the 3rd anti-codon position.
Source: Rfam